Molecule: ribosomal RNA, 507 nt
Filed under: Cafius vestitus
Lineage: Eukaryota; Metazoa; Arthropoda; Insecta; Coleoptera; Staphylinidae
Description: partial 16S ribosomal RNA
Rfam family: Bacterial large subunit ribosomal RNA
Source: RNAcentral
GUCUUUUUGUUUAUAAUAUAAAGUCUAACCUGCCCACUGAAUUUUUAAGGGCCGCAGUAUUUUGACUGUGCGAAGGUAGCAUAAUAAUUAGUUUUUUAAUUGAAAGCUGGUAUGAAUGGUUGAACGAGGAAAUAACUGUCUCUAUAUUAAUUUAUUAGAAUUUUAUUUUUAAGUUAAAAAGCUUAAAUGAUUUUAAAAGACGAGAAGACCCUAUAGAGUUUAAUAAAAUUUAUGAUUAGAGAUUGUUAGGAUUUUUUUUGUUUAAUUAUAGGUUUUAUUUUAUUGGGGUGAUAGAAAAAUUUAGAUAACUUUUUUUUUAUUUAAACAUUGAUUUAUGAAUUAAUGAUCCAUUUUUUAUGAUUAUAAGAUUAAAUUACCUUAGGGAUAACAGCGUAAUUUUUUUUAAGAGUUCUUAUCGAAAAAAAAGAUUGCGACCUCGAUGUUGGAUUAAAAUUUAUAUUUGGUGUAGAAGCUAAAUAAUUAGGUCUGUUCGACCUUUGAAAUUUU